UACGGAGGGUGCGAGCGUUGUCCGGAAUCACUGGGCGUAAAGGGCGCGUAGGCGGCGCGGGUAGUCAUCGGUGAAAGUUCAGGGCUCAACUCUGAAUCGGCCGGUGAUACUCCCGUGCUCGAGCACUGUAGAGGCAGGUGGAAUUCCGGGUGUAGCGGUGGAAUGCGUAGAGAUCCGGAAGAACACCGGUGGCGAAGGCGGCCUGCUGGGCAGUAGCUGACGCUGAUGCGCGACAGCGUGGGGAGCAAGCAGG
This 253-nucleotide ribosomal RNA is filed under the name uncultured bacterium. RNAcentral describes it as "partial 16S ribosomal RNA". It matches the Rfam family "Bacterial small subunit ribosomal RNA", at positions 524 to 776 of the family's 1533-position model. The record is from RNAcentral.